This 758-nucleotide long non-coding RNA is filed under the name Citrus x clementina. Its description in RNAcentral is "Citrus clementina (C. clementina) long non-coding RNA (CCLE_LNC002248)". Lineage: Eukaryota; Viridiplantae; Streptophyta; Magnoliopsida; Sapindales; Rutaceae. The record is from RNAcentral.
GGAGAUAAAUCAAAUUCAACAGUGUACAAGGUUCUUGUAAAUUACACUUAUUUUAUGAAAAUAAGCUCUAAUGACAACAAUGUCAACUACGAGCCUACACUUUCGCCGUGCAGCAAAGAUGAUUACAGUAUGUCAACAGAGUUUGACAAAAUUUCAGCAUGUAGUUUCUUUACCAACACAAACCAUAAAACUGCUACUACAGAAAUAGAGAACAAAAAAGAUUGAUAGAAGAAAAGCAAGUGCCAUGCCAAAGAAAGGAUGAACUAUAUUUGUUUGUCCUUGAAGCUGACUGAUCCCAAACGAAAUUGCGAAAACCAUAAGUCCAAGUUAAGCCAAGAAUCCAUAUUUCCUGCAUGUGAGUUAUUAAAAAUGAAAUUAAAUACAUAUAUGAAUCAUCAAAAUUAAUUGAGAUUGCUCCCCUAAACUUAAUAACCAGCAAUGAAACUGGUAAGCUAAUAAUGUGUACAUUGAUAAUUGAUGCUACUUUUCAAUUUGGUGACCAGUAAUAUAUUUUCAAUAAGGAAGUUCAAAUGUGUGACCUAUCUAAGCAAGUAAAGUAGUAAUCUAGUGAGGGUUAUUCACCCAGCUAAACAAACAUAAUUUUUUUAACAAGCUAUCAUCUUGAAUUGCUAAUUCAAAUUCGACACAUGUAUGCACAGAUGCACAAGAACAAACAGAAUUUUGCACACCAUUUAUUAUAAUAAUUGAGCAGAUUAUUUUGCUUUUAUUAUUAUUAUUAUUAUUUCAUAUAACCAAAC